This 934-nucleotide long non-coding RNA is filed under the name Daphnia magna. RNAcentral's name for it is "uncharacterized LOC123469385, transcript variant X2". Lineage: Eukaryota; Metazoa; Arthropoda; Branchiopoda; Diplostraca; Daphniidae. The record is from RNAcentral.
GGUGACUUUUUUUUUUCAACUUCAUCAUUCGCUCACUCUCAUUUAUGGGUCGCAGCGCAAGUCAUGUGAAUCGACUGCUUGGUCAAACACGAAUAUCAGUCGACCCUGUAUUUCCCGUUUCCUUUUCCGCAGGGGAAAAAAAAAGAAUAAAAAAAAAAAGGAAAAGAUUUAAAUGCAUAAAUAACGUCCGUGUUAAAUACCAAAAGAAUACGAAAACAGGUCAUUUUCACGGAUUGUUUUGCUAGUAAAGCUUUGAAUUCAAUGGAAUGGAAACCGACCAUUUUGAUAAUUCGCAUUUUAGUGGGACAAAUUAAAUCAUGAAAUUUUGCUGUGUGCUUUCGUACGGCGACGAUAACGGUUUGUGAAGAUGCAGUUUGAAUGAGUUACAUUGGAAUGGUGGUUUUGUCUUCUACUGGCUUGUAGCAGAUGAAUGCUUUUUAGUUCUCUGUUAACGACCAUAUAAAACAGUACCAGUGAUACAACUACUCUGUAAAUAUGAAAACUCUGCACAUACUCACACUGUUUUCUUGUACUCUGACGAGUAUAAAGAGGCCGUCAGCAAAACAUAAUAUAGCAGGUGACGGGACCAAUACUGAUGACAACAAGGCGACGCAACAUUUUCAACAGCAAGUGGACAAUAGAGUUCCCAAAUCGGGCUAUUACCACUUACUACAACAUAACAUUUUUCUUUUUUUUUUUUAUUUUGUCGUAAUAGGAAGUAUUGCAAUAAGCCACUUGGAGUAUUAUUUUGCCAUAUCGACAAGGAUACUCCGAAAAAAAAGAAUAAAUUGAGGUCAAAAUUCUAUCGACAGCAAAUGCGUCCCAUUUUUUAUAAAAAGGUCAAUGAUAACAUAGUCGCUGUUACUAGGAAACAUUUUUUUUUGAAUCUGCCCACCGCAAAAAUAAAAAAUAAAAAUAUAUAUUGUUGAACCAG